RNAcentral lists this transfer RNA (76 nucleotides) under Gammaproteobacteria bacterium. RNAcentral's name for it is "tRNA-Lys". It matches the Rfam family "tRNA". Rfam says of the family: Transfer RNA (tRNA) molecules are approximately 80 nucleotides in length. Their secondary structure includes four short double-helical elements and three loops (D, anti-codon, and T loops). Lineage: Bacteria; Pseudomonadati; Pseudomonadota; Gammaproteobacteria. The record is from RNAcentral.
GGGCCGUUAGCUCAGUCGGUAGAGCAGCGGACUUUUAAUCCGUUGGUCGUAGGUUCGACCCCUACACGGCCCACCA